RNAcentral lists this ribosomal RNA (380 nucleotides) under uncultured Alphaproteobacteria bacterium. RNAcentral describes it as "bacterial SSU rRNA". It matches the Rfam family "Bacterial small subunit ribosomal RNA", at positions 9 to 419 of the family's 1533-position model. Lineage: Bacteria; Pseudomonadati; Pseudomonadota; Alphaproteobacteria. The record is from RNAcentral.
GAGUUUGAUCAUGGCUCAGAACGAACGCUGGCGGCACGCCUAAAACAUGCAAGUCGAGCGCCCAGCAAUGGGAGCGGCGGACGGGUGAGUAACACGUGGGAAUGUACCUUUCGGUUCGGAACAACCCAGGGAAACUUGGGCUAAUACUGGAUACGCCCUUACGGGGAAAGAUUUAUCGCCGAAAGAUCAGCCCGCGUUGGAUUAGCUAGUUGGUGAGGUAACGGCCCACCAAGGCGACGAUCCAUAGCUGGUUUGAGAGAACGACCAGCCACACUGGGACUGAGACACGGCCCAGACUCCUACGGGAGGCAGCAGUUGGGAAUCUUGGACAAUGGGGGAAACCCUGAUCCAGCCAUGCCGCGUGAGUGAUGAAGGCCUUC